GAACGCGAAGAACCUUACCAGGUCUUGACAUCCUGUGCUACACCUAGAGAUAGGUGGCUCCCUUCGGGGACGCAGAGACAGGUGGUGCAUGGCUGUCGUCAGCUCGUGUCGUGAGAUGUUGGGUUAAGUCCCGCAACGAGCGCAACCCUUGUCUUUAGUUGCCAUCAUUAAGUUGGGCACUUCUAAAGAGACUGCCGGUGACAAACCGGAGGAAGGUGGGGAUGACGUCAAGUCAUCAUGCCCCUUAUGACCUGGGCUACACACGUGCUACAAUGGGCAGUACAACGAGAAGCGAACCCGCGAGGGUAAGCGGAUCUCUUAAAGCUGUUCUCAGUUCGGACUGCAGGCUGCAACUCGCCUGCACGAAGCUGGAAUCGCUAGUAAUCGCGGAUCAGCACGCCGCGGUGAAUACGUUCCCGGGUCUUGUACACACC
RNAcentral lists this ribosomal RNA (434 nucleotides) under uncultured bacterium. RNAcentral's name for it is "bacterial SSU rRNA". It matches the Rfam family "Bacterial small subunit ribosomal RNA", at positions 957 to 1391 of the family's 1533-position model. The record is from RNAcentral.